RNAcentral lists this transfer RNA (71 nucleotides) under Bos taurus (domestic cattle). It matches the Rfam family "tRNA". From Rfam's summary of the family: Transfer RNA (tRNA) molecules are approximately 80 nucleotides in length. RNAcentral also lists the same sequence under 2 other names. The record is from Rfam by way of RNAcentral. Lineage: Eukaryota; Metazoa; Chordata; Mammalia; Artiodactyla; Bovidae.
UCCCUGGUAACUAAGUGGUAAAGAACCUGCCUGUCAAGCAGGAGAUGUGGGUUCGAUCCCUGGGUUGGGAA